Carnobacterium sp. is the source of this 72-nucleotide transfer RNA. It matches the Rfam family "tRNA". Rfam says of the family: Transfer RNA (tRNA) molecules are approximately 80 nucleotides in length. Their secondary structure includes four short double-helical elements and three loops (D, anti-codon, and T loops). The record is from Rfam. NCBI's taxonomy places the organism in Bacteria, Bacillati, Bacillota, Bacilli, Lactobacillales, Carnobacteriaceae.
GGCCCGUUGGUCAAGUGGUUAAGACACCGCCCUUUCACGGCGGUAUCACGGGUUCGAAUCCCGUACGGGUCA